AAACUCGGGCUAAUACCGCAUACGCUCUACGGAGGAAAGCUGGGGACCUUAGGGCCUGGCGCUUUUAGAUGAGCCUGCGUCAGAUUAGCUAGUUGGUGGGGUAAAGGCCUACCAAGGCGACGAUCUGUAGCUGAUUUGAGAGGAUGAUCAGCCACACUGGGACUGAGACACGGCCCAGACUCCUACGGGAGGCAGCAGUGGGGAAUUUUGGACAAUGGGCGAAAGCCUGAUCCAGCAAUGCCGCGUGUGCGAUGACGGCCUUCGGGUUGUAAAGCACUUUCAAUUGUGAAGAAAUGUGCACGGUUAAUACCCGUGUAAGCU
RNAcentral lists this ribosomal RNA (321 nucleotides) under uncultured Gammaproteobacteria bacterium. RNAcentral describes it as "bacterial SSU rRNA". It matches the Rfam family "Bacterial small subunit ribosomal RNA", at positions 154 to 473 of the family's 1533-position model. Lineage: Bacteria; Pseudomonadati; Pseudomonadota; Gammaproteobacteria. The record is from RNAcentral.